UAGGGAAUCUUCCGCAAUGGGCGAAAGCCUGACGGAGCAACGCCGCGUGAGUGAUGAAGGUCUUCGGAUCGUAAAACUCUGUUAUUAGGGAAGAACAAAUGUGUAAGUAACUAUGCACGUCUUGACGGUACCUAAUCAGAAAGCCACGGCUAACUACGUGCCAGCAGCCGCGGUAAUACGUAGGUGGCAAGCGUUAUCCGGAAUUAUUGGGCGUAAAGCGCGCGUAGGCGGUUUUUUAAGUCUGUUGUGAAAGCCCACGGCUCAACCGUGGAGGGUCAUUGGAAACUGGAAAACUUGAGUGCAGAAGAGGAAAGUGGAAUUCCAUGUGUAGCGGUGAAAUGCGCAGAGAUAUGGAGGAACACCAGUGGCGAAGGCGACUUUCUGGUCUGUAACUGACGCUGAUGUGCGAAAGCGUGGGGAUCAAACAGG
This 429-nucleotide ribosomal RNA is filed under the name Actinomycetes bacterium. RNAcentral describes it as "Actinobacteria bacterium partial 16S ribosomal RNA". It matches the Rfam family "Bacterial small subunit ribosomal RNA", at positions 355 to 776 of the family's 1533-position model. Lineage: Bacteria; Bacillati; Actinomycetota; Actinomycetes. The record is from RNAcentral.